Molecule: long non-coding RNA, 214 nt
Organism: Chinchilla lanigera (long-tailed chinchilla)
Lineage: Eukaryota; Metazoa; Chordata; Mammalia; Rodentia; Chinchillidae
Exons: 2
Source: RefSeq, a predicted model, not a curated record
CAGUUACACAGACUACAGGAAAAGGCCCCUGCCUCUUCUCCCAGGGGAUCCUGCUUUCUUGUUUCGGGAUUCAAGCUGAGCGCGAGGAUGCCACAAGAUCGUUCCCUCUGUGAAGAAGACAGGAAACCCUCCCCACACGGAACCUGCAAGCUGCUGGACCCCUGACUGUGGACUUCCGGCCUCCAGAACUUAUGCAAUUAAAGUGUGUUGUUCA